GACGAACGCUGGCGGCGUGCCUAAUACAUGCAUGUCGAGCGCAGGAAAUCGACGGAACCCUUCGGGGGGAAGUCGACGGAAUGAGCGGCGGACGGGUGAGUAACACGUAAAGAACCUGCCCUCAGGUCUGGGAUAACCACGAGAAAUCGGGGCUAAUACCGGAUGGGUCAUCGGACCGCAUGGUCCGAGGAUGAAAGGCGCUUCGGCGUCGCCUGGGGAUGGCUUUGCGGUGCAUUAGCUAGUUGGGGGGGUAAUGGCCCACCAAGGCGACGAUGCAUAGCCGACCUGAGAGGGUGAUCGGCCACACUGGGACUGAGACACGGCCCAGACUCCUACGGGAGGCAGCAGUAGGGAAUCUUCCACAAUGGACGAAAGUCUGAUGGAGCAACGCCGCGUGAACGAUGAAGGCCUUCGGGUCGUAAAGUUCUGUUGUAAGGGAAGAACAAGUGCCGCAGGCAAUGGCGGCACCUUGACGGUACCUUGCGAGAAAGCCACGGCUAACUACGUGCCAGCAGCCGCGGUAA
This 524-nucleotide ribosomal RNA is filed under the name uncultured bacterium. Its description in RNAcentral is "partial 16S ribosomal RNA". It matches the Rfam family "Bacterial small subunit ribosomal RNA", at positions 28 to 523 of the family's 1533-position model. The record is from RNAcentral.